GAUGUUAGCGGCGGACGGGUGAGUAACACGUGGGUAACCUGCCUGUAAGACUGGGAUAACUCCGGGAAACCGGGGCUAAUACCGGAUGGUUGUUUGAACCGCAUGGUUCAAACAUAAAAGGUGGCUUCGGCUACCACUUACAGAUGGACCCGCGGCGCAUUAGCUAGUUGGUGAGGUAACGGCUCACCAAGGCGACGAUGCGUAGCCGACCUGAGAGGGUGAUCGGCCACACUGGGACUGAGACACGGCCCAGACUCCUACGGGAGGCAGCAGUAGGGAAUCUUCCGCAAUGGACGAAAGUCUGACGGAGCAACGCCGCGUGAGUGAUGAAGGUUUUCGGAUCGUAAAGCUCUGUUGUUAGGGAAGAACAAGUACCGUUCGAAUAGGGCGGUACCUUGACGGUACCUAACCAGAAAGCCACGGCUAACUACGUGCCAGCAGCCGCGGUAAUACGUAGGUGGCAAGCGUUGUCCGGAAUUAUUGGGCGUAAAGGGCUCGCAGGCGGUUUCUUAAGUCUGAUGUGAAAGCCCCCGGCUCAACCGGGGAGGGUCAUUGGAAACUGGGGAACUUGAGUGCAGAAGAGGAGAGUGGAAUUCCACGUGUAGCGGUGAAAUGC
This 616-nucleotide ribosomal RNA is filed under the name Bacillus subtilis subsp. subtilis. RNAcentral's name for it is "bacterial SSU rRNA". It matches the Rfam family "Bacterial small subunit ribosomal RNA", at positions 88 to 689 of the family's 1533-position model. Lineage: Bacteria; Bacillati; Bacillota; Bacilli; Caryophanales; Bacillaceae. The record is from RNAcentral.